AACGCGGUGGACGCCGCUUCCGAGUCGGCGGCCGGCGGGGCCGCCGGCGGCGUGCCUGCCGCCCGGUCCCCGGUGCCGGCCCGUGCCGUGGUC
Molecule: transfer RNA, 93 nt
Filed under: Streptomyces nitrosporeus
Lineage: Bacteria; Bacillati; Actinomycetota; Actinomycetes; Kitasatosporales; Streptomycetaceae
Description: tRNA-Arg
Source: RNAcentral